UACAGAGGCUACGAGCGUUGUUCGGAUUUACUGGGCGUAAAGGGUGCGUAGGUUGUAUCGAGAGUCGCGGGUGAAAUCCCAGGGCUUAACCCUGGAACUGCCUGCGAGACCUCGAUACUAGAGUGUGAGAGGGGAUACUGGAAUUCCUGGUGUAGCGGUGAAAUGCGUAGAUAUCAGGAGGAACACCGGUGGCGAAGGCGGGUAUCUGGCUCACAACUGACACUGAGGCACGAAAGCGUGGGGAUCAAACAGG
RNAcentral lists this ribosomal RNA (253 nucleotides) under uncultured bacterium. RNAcentral describes it as "partial 16S ribosomal RNA". It matches the Rfam family "Bacterial small subunit ribosomal RNA", at positions 524 to 776 of the family's 1533-position model. The record is from RNAcentral.